GAUUUUUGGACUUUGAGCGCCGCUGCUCAUUUUCUUCUUCUUCUUCAUUUUUACGUUCUAUCUUCCUCUUCUUGAUUUCUCAGUUGAAAACAAGACACACACAAUUACAUAAAAGGAAAAGGGACGGAAAAAAAACAAGAAAAGGAAAACAGAGCCAAAAGAAAUCUAGUAGCUCUUCAUCUUCAAUCGCCGCUGCUCUUUCUAUUUUAGCGAAGAACGCACCAAAUAGUUCUGUCGUUCAUAUUUCCGGCGAGUUUGGAGGACCAUUGAUUUCGUUCGAGUUUGAGUGCUAUUUCGAAUUUCGCGUGUAGUGCGCCCUUCCGUCUAGAAUAAAAAAUAGAUUUUGGAAAUUAAAAGAAGAAUUCAGGUUCAAAUUGUUGUUAGAUUCCAUUGAUGUUGCUGUUUGGAUAAAAUUUUGCUGAGCUCCGUCGAUUUGGCUCGUCCGUGAUUUCUAAUUUUGUGACCGAGUCGGAGGGUCAAGGCUCACUAAGGCAAACCUGGAAGUGUAAUCUAAUUUGUUGUUUCUUUUGGAUUUAUUUUGCUUGUGUAUCACUUGAUAUGCACUGAGGCUAUGUGCAUGCCAUUUAUUUUGAAUAAAUUUCUUAUAUCCGUGUAUUUUAUAUAGUGAGAAUCCUUACAAAAGCUAGGGUCCAAAAAUGGACUAUCAAUA
Molecule: long non-coding RNA, 670 nt
Organism: Nicotiana tabacum (common tobacco)
Lineage: Eukaryota; Viridiplantae; Streptophyta; Magnoliopsida; Solanales; Solanaceae
Source: RefSeq, a predicted model, not a curated record